AGGAUGAACGCUGGCGGUAUGCCUAACACAUGCAAGUCGAACGGGUGUCUUCGGACAUUAGUGGCGGACGGGUGAGUAACGCGUGAGAAUCUGCCUUCAGGAUGGGGACAACAGUUGGAAACGACUGCUAAUACCCGAUAUGACGAAAGUUGAAAGAUUUAUCGCCUGGAGAUGAGCUCGCGUCAGAUUAGCUAGUUGGUGUGGUAAUGGCGCACCAAGGCGACGAUCUGUAGC
RNAcentral lists this ribosomal RNA (234 nucleotides) under uncultured bacterium. RNAcentral describes it as "partial small subunit ribosomal RNA". It matches the Rfam family "Bacterial small subunit ribosomal RNA", at positions 26 to 287 of the family's 1533-position model. The record is from RNAcentral.